This 762-nucleotide ribosomal RNA is filed under the name uncultured bacterium. RNAcentral's name for it is "bacterial SSU rRNA". It matches the Rfam family "Bacterial small subunit ribosomal RNA", at positions 8 to 803 of the family's 1533-position model. The record is from RNAcentral.
AGAGUUUGAUCAUGGCUCAGGAUGAACGUUGGCGGCAUGCUUAACACAUGCAAGUCGAACGAGGAGUCUAUGACUCCUAGUGGCGAACGGGUGCGUAACACGUAGGGACUUGCCUGAAAGUGGGGGAUAACCAUUGGAAACGAUGGCUAAUACCGCAUGUGCUGUGAUUAUCAUAGUAAAGGAUUUCGAUCCGCUUUUAGAGAGGCCUGCGGCCUAUCAGGUAGUUGGUGGGGUAACAGCCUACCAAGCCAACGACGGGUAGCUGACCUGAGAGGGUGGUCAGCCACAGGGGAACUGAGACACGGUCCCCACUCCUACGGGAGGCAGCAGUGAGGAAUAUUGCACAAUGCCCUAACGGGUGAUGCAGCAAUGCCGCGUGCAGGAUGAAACCCUUCGGGGUGUAAACUGCUUUGGUGUGGGAGGAGCAAGGACCGUACCACACAAAAAAGUCACGGCUAACUACGUGCCAGCAGCCGCGGUAAGACGUAGGUGGCAAACGUUAUCCGGAAUUACUGGGCGUAAAGGGUCCGCAGGCGGUCUAAAAGGUCUGACGUGAAAGCUCCUGGCUUAACUAGGAGAGGCCGUUGGAAACCGUUAGACUAGACUCACGCAGAGGUCGGUGGAAUUCCCGGUGUAGUGGUGGAAUGCGUAGAGAUCGGGAGGAACCCCAAAAGCGAAGGCAGCCGGCUGGGUGAUGAGUGACGCUCAGGGACGAAAGCGUAGGGAGCGAACAGGAUUAGAUACCCUGGUAGUCUACGCUGU